UGAGGAUUAUUGGUCAAUGGACGAGAGUCUGAACCAGCCAAGUAGCGUGCAGGAUGACGGCCCUAUGGGUUGUAAAUUGCUUUUGUUUGGGAAUAAUCGACAUUACGUGUAAUGUUUUGCAUGUACCAUUCGAAUAAGGACCGGCUAAUCCCGUGCCAGCAGCCGCGGUAAUACGGAAGGUCCAGGCGUUAUCCGGAUUUAUUGGGUUUAAAGGGAGUGUAGGCGGUUGGUUAAGCGUGUUGUGAAAUGUAGAUGCUCAACAUCUGACUUGCAGCGCGAACUGGCUGACUUGAGUACACACGACGUAGGCGGAAGUCAUGGUGUAGCGGUGAAAUACUUAGGUAUCAUGAAGAACUCCGAUUGCGAAGGCAGCUUACGGGAGUGUUACUGACGCUUAAGCUCGAAGGUGCGGGUAUCGAACAGG
This 424-nucleotide ribosomal RNA is filed under the name Verrucomicrobiota bacterium. Its description in RNAcentral is "Verrucomicrobia bacterium partial 16S ribosomal RNA". It matches the Rfam family "Bacterial small subunit ribosomal RNA", at positions 355 to 776 of the family's 1533-position model. The record is from RNAcentral. Lineage: Bacteria; Pseudomonadati; Verrucomicrobiota.